AUUGAACGCUGGCGGCAGGCCUAACACAUGCAAGUCGAACGAGUGGCGGACGGGUGAGUAAUGUCUGGGAAACUGCCUGAUGGAGGGGGAUAACUACUGGAAACGGUAGCUAAUACCGCAUACCAUCGGAUGUGCCCAGAUGGGAUUAGCUAGUCGGUGGGGUAACGGCGCACCUAGGCGACGAUCCCUAGCUGGUCUGAGAGGAUGACCAGCCACACUGGAACUGAGACACGGUCCAGACGCCUACGUGAGGCAGCAGUGGGGAAUAUUGCACAAUGGGCGAAAGCCUGAUGCAGCCAGGCCGCGUGUGGGAAGAAGGCCUUCGGGUUGUAAAGCACUGUCAGCGGGGAGGCGUUACCCGCAGAAGAAGCACCGGCUAACUCCGUGCCAGCAGCCGCGGUAAUAC
This 406-nucleotide ribosomal RNA is filed under the name uncultured bacterium. RNAcentral's name for it is "partial 16S ribosomal RNA". It matches the Rfam family "Bacterial small subunit ribosomal RNA", at positions 29 to 526 of the family's 1533-position model. The record is from RNAcentral.